Molecule: non-coding RNA, 303 nt
Organism: Vicia faba (fava bean)
Lineage: Eukaryota; Viridiplantae; Streptophyta; Magnoliopsida; Fabales; Fabaceae
Source: the annotation of a GenBank genome assembly
AACAUUAGGGUUUCCGCUGAGCUAUAUAUUCGACAUUUAAAGUCCCAUUCCAGCAGCUCUUUAACAAAAUUGUUCGGUUUCAAUUGCAAUUGCAAUAUUUCGUUUUCUAUUUUUUUUACCUAUGAUUUUUGUUGUUCCUUUGGUUUAUGUCCUCUCUUCAUCCAUGUGAAAUCAAUUUUUUGUCCGUGUAGACGAAGAUCCUUGAAUCAGAUUUCAAUCUUUAAUUGUUUCAAUUUUGCAUCUUAUCAAAAACUUCUUUAUCCUGUUUUUGAUUUUGAGAUUUGUUAUAUGUGUUUAUUCUGA